RNAcentral lists this ribosomal RNA (324 nucleotides) under Allapsidae sp. RNAcentral's name for it is "SSU rRNA". The stretch from base 109 to 324 matches the Rfam family "Eukaryotic small subunit ribosomal RNA", at positions 738 to 955 of the family's 1831-position model. Lineage: Eukaryota; Cercozoa; Glissomonadida; Viridiraptoridae. The record is from RNAcentral.
GAUUUCUGGCUUGGUGCGCCUGGCCCGCCAUCGUUAGGUGUGUGAGUGCUGGGUCGUGCCUGCCAUCCUUCUAGACAGCAUCCUCUACUCUUCACUGAGCUGGAGUUUGUCAUCUAGAUCGUUUACUUUGAAAAAAUUAGAGUGUUUAAAGCAGGCUUUUGCUAUGAAUACAUUAGCAUGGAAUAAUAAUUUAGGACUUCGGUUCUAUUUUGUUGGUUUCUAGGACUGAAGUAAUGAUUGAUAGGGAUAGUUGGGGGUGCUAGUAUUCAGCGGCCAGAGGUGAAAUUCUCGGAUUCGCUGAAGACUAACUUAUGCGAAAGCAUU